RNAcentral lists this ribosomal RNA (286 nucleotides) under uncultured soil bacterium. Its description in RNAcentral is "partial 16S ribosomal RNA". It matches the Rfam family "Bacterial small subunit ribosomal RNA", at positions 26 to 312 of the family's 1533-position model. The record is from RNAcentral.
AGAUUGAACGCUGGCGGCAUGCCUUACACAUGCAAGUCGAACGGCAGCACGGGAGCAAUCCUGGUGGCGAGUGGCGAACGGGUGAGUAAUACAUCGGAACGUGCCCAAUCGUGGGGGAUAACGCAGCGAAAGCUGUGCUAAUACCGCAUAAGAUCUACGGAUGAAAGCAGGGGAUCGCAAGACCUUGCGCGAAUGGAGCGGCCGAUGGCAGAUUAGGUAGUUGGUGAGGUAAAGGCUCACCAAGCCUUCGAUCUGUAGCUGGUCUGAGACGGACGACCAGCCCACA